GGGGAAUAUUGCGCAAUGGGCGAAAGCCUGACGCAGCCACGCCGCGUGAGCGAUGAAGGCCUUCGGGUCGUAAAGCUCUGUGGGGAGAGAAGAAUAAAGCCUGUGAAGAGCAGGCCUUGACGGUAUCUCCUUAGCAAGCACCGGCUAACUCCGUGCCAGCAGCCGCGGUAAUACGGAGGGUGCAAACGUUGCUCGGAAUCAUUGGGCGUAAAGCGCACGUAGGCUGCCCGACAAGUUGGGGGUGAAAACCCUGGGCUCAACCCAGGAAGUGCAGCCAAAACUGGCGGGCUUGAAUCUCGGAGGGGGUCGGAGAAUUCCCGGUGUAGAGGUGAAAUUCGUAGAUAUCGGGAGGAAUACCAGUGGCGAAGGCGCCGACCUGGACGAAGAUUGACGCUGAGGUGCGAAAGCGUGGGGAGCAAAC
RNAcentral lists this ribosomal RNA (421 nucleotides) under uncultured bacterium. RNAcentral's name for it is "bacterial SSU rRNA". It matches the Rfam family "Bacterial small subunit ribosomal RNA", at positions 356 to 773 of the family's 1533-position model. The record is from RNAcentral.